GGGGCGCCUGUGGGAGCCGUGGAGGGAACUUUCCCAGUCCCCGAGGCGGAUCCGGUGUUGCAUCCUUGGAGCGAGCUGAGAGCUCGAGGUGAGCUGGGCUCGCGGUCGCCCCUCUCGCGCGCCCUCUUUAAGAACCACGGCGUCCAACCUCCCUGGAAAUGGGGGGAACAUGGCCGAGGCGCGUGGCGAGGCCGCCUCGUGGAGGCCCCGGAGCGGCAUCCUCAGCGCCCCAGCGAUCCGGUGCCCAUUAGAACCUGCUAAGGCCAUCAAACCUAUUGAUCGGAAGUCAGUCCAUCAGAUUUGCUCUGGGCCGGUGGUACCGAGUCUAAGCACUGCGGUGAAGGAGUUAGUAGAAAACAGUCUGGAUGCUGGUGCCACUAAUAUUGAUCUAAAGCUUAAGGACUAUGGAGUGGAUCUCAUUGAAGUUUCAGGCAAUGGAUGUGGGGUAGAAGAAGAAAACUUCGAAGGCUUAACUCUGAAACAUCACACAUCUAAGAUUCAAGAGUUUGCCGACCUACCUCAGGUUGAAACUUUUGGCUUUCGGGGGGAAGCUCUGAGCUCACUUUGUGCACUGAGGACUCCUAGAAGUACCCCACCCCACCCCUGCUCCUUGGAGGACAACGUGAUCACUGUAUUCAGCUCUGUCAAGAAUGGUCCAGGUUCUUCUAGAUGAUCUGCACAAAUGGCUCCUCUCCUCCUUCCUGAUGUCUGCCAUUAGCACUGGAAUAAAGUUCCUGCUGAAAAUCCA
This 748-nucleotide long non-coding RNA is filed under the name Homo sapiens (human). Its description in RNAcentral is "novel transcript". The record is from RNAcentral. Lineage: Eukaryota; Metazoa; Chordata; Mammalia; Primates; Hominidae.